Long non-coding RNA from Rhinichthys klamathensis goyatoka, 198 nucleotides. RefSeq lists it as uncharacterized. Lineage: Eukaryota; Metazoa; Chordata; Actinopteri; Cypriniformes; Leuciscidae. The record is from RefSeq and is a predicted model, not a curated record. The transcript is spliced from 2 exons.
CUAGAACUACCCGGUGCGAAAGCCCCUAAUGUUUGUAUUGAUAGUUUUUGCUCGAAAUGCCCAUGUAAGUGAAGAUAUGUAAAAUAUUUAUUUCUUGUUAAUAGAUUUGGGCAAAAAUUAACACAUAUAAAGUCGCUGGUCUCUCAUUUGUUUGUUUUUAUGAACGUAUGUGUAUGUCUUUCUCAUACCCUUUUCAAG